UUUCGCAAUGCCCGAAAGGGUGACGAAGCGACGCCGCGUGUGGGAAGAAGGCCUUCGGGCUGUAAACCACUGUCGGGAGUUAAGAAAUGCAAGGAUAUGAAUAGUGUCUUUGCUUGACUAAGGCUCCGGAGGAAGCCACGGCUAACUCUGUGCCAGCAGCCGCGGUAAUACAGAGGCGGCAAGCGUUGUUCGGAAUUAUUGGGCGUAAAGAGCACGUAGACGGCUAUAUAAGUCGGUUGUGAAAGCCUUCCGCUCAACGGGAGAACAGCAUCCGAUACUGUGUGGCUUGAGUGUGGGAGGGGAGAGCGGAACUUCUGGUGGAGCGGUGAAAUGCGUAGAUAUCAGAAGGAACGCCGGCGGCGAAAGCGGCUCUCUGGCCCAUAACUGACGCUGAGUGUGCGAAAGCUAGGGGAGCAAACGGGAUUAGAUACCCCGGUAGUCCUAGCCGUAAACGAUGGGCACUAAGUAGAGGGGUUUU
RNAcentral lists this ribosomal RNA (478 nucleotides) under uncultured Planctomycetales bacterium. Its description in RNAcentral is "bacterial SSU rRNA". It matches the Rfam family "Bacterial small subunit ribosomal RNA", at positions 364 to 832 of the family's 1533-position model. The record is from RNAcentral. Lineage: Bacteria; Pseudomonadati; Planctomycetota; Planctomycetia; Planctomycetales.